GACGAACGCUGGCGGCGUGCUUAACACAUGCAAGUCGAACGGAAAGGCCCCUUUGGGGGUACUCGAGUGGCGAACGGGUGAGUAACACGUGAGUAACCUGCCCUUGACUUCGGGAUAACUUCAGGAAACUGGGGCUAAUACCGGAUAGGAAUCCUUGCUGCAUGGUGGGGGUUGGAAAGCUUCGGCGGUUUUGGAUGGACUCGCGGCUUAUCAGCUUGUUGGUGGGGUAGUGGCUUACCAAGGCUUUGACGGGUAGCCGGCCUGAGAGGGCGACCGGCCACAUUGGGACUGAGAUACGGCCCAGACUCCUACGGGAGGCUGCAGUGGGGAAUAUUGCACAAUGGGCGGAAGCCUGAUGCAGCAACGCCGCGUGCGGGAGGACGGCCUUCGGGUUGUAAACCGCUUUCAGCAGGGGCGAAGCUUGUGGUGACGGUACCUGCAGAAGAAGCACCGGCUAACUACGUG
This 465-nucleotide ribosomal RNA is filed under the name uncultured bacterium. Its description in RNAcentral is "partial 16S ribosomal RNA". It matches the Rfam family "Bacterial small subunit ribosomal RNA", at positions 28 to 507 of the family's 1533-position model. The record is from RNAcentral.